AUUGAAUGCUGGCGGCAGGCCUAACACAUGCAAGUCGAACGGUAACAGGAAGAAGCUUGCUUCUUUGCUGACGAGUGGCGGACGGGUGAGUAAUGUCUGGGAAACUGCCUGAUGGAGGGGGAUAACUACUGGAAACGGUAGCUCAUACAGCAUAACGUCGCAAGACCAAAGAGGGGGACCUUCGGGCCUCUUGCCCUCGGAUGUGCCCAGAUGGGAUUAGCUAGUAGGUGGGGUAACGGCGCACCUAGGCGACGCUCCCUAGCUGGUCUGAGAGGAUGACCAGCCACACUGGAACUGAGACACGGUCCAGACUCCUACGGGAGGCAGCAGUGGGGAAUAUUGCACAAUGGGCGCAAGCCUGAUGCAGCCAUGCCGCGUGGAUGAAGAAGGCCUUCGGGUUGUAAAGUACUUUCAGCGGGGAGGAAGGGAGUAAAGUUAAUACCUUUACUCAUUGACGUUACCCGCAGAAGAAGCACCGGCUAACUCCGUG
Molecule: ribosomal RNA, 490 nt
Filed under: uncultured bacterium
Lineage: Bacteria
Description: partial 16S ribosomal RNA
Rfam family: Bacterial small subunit ribosomal RNA
Source: RNAcentral